This 698-nucleotide long non-coding RNA is filed under the name Elaeis guineensis (African oil palm). RNAcentral's name for it is "long non-coding RNA (EGUI_LNC070291)". Lineage: Eukaryota; Viridiplantae; Streptophyta; Magnoliopsida; Arecales; Arecaceae. The record is from RNAcentral.
AAAAUCAAAAAAUAAAAUAUCAUAGUGAGCAACUGAAGCUGCCGCUGACCUCGGAUGGGUUCCAACAUUUCACUGGCGCCCCAUCAACUCACAUCACUGCCUCCACUAGGUCAUCCUUCAGCAUAUUUUUCAGCUUGUUUCCAUCAACACUCGUGAGACAUUAUUCCGUGAAGUUAAUUGAAUUGAAAACGAUUGCCAUUACAGGUAAAGUCCCUGGUAAAUGGGGCACUAAUAUUGAAGUCACGAGCAGGAUAAGGUGAAGGACCAGAGGCAUGCAAUCAGGAAAGCGGCAGCACAAUUGGAGGGGCUGAAGAAGAAUGGGUGAAAGUAAAUUUGAUGGACCACGACCACUGAAAGUUACCUCCGUUACGCGGGGGGGUAAAAUGGUUUUGCCACUGGUUAAAUGCUGCCAGAUCUGGGUGAGCGAAUCCACAGUCCAAAGCCUGGCCCAACUCGAUAUGAACUUAGGCCCAUAUUCUGGGCCCAUCAGCAUCCAUUUCAUUAGUACGUAACCUGAUUUGGUUUAGUAGUAAUCAAGGCUGAUUGUUGUGCGCGUGCGCAUGUGUAGCUCGGAUAACACUAACUUAACAGGUUUGAUUUACUUUGUUUCCCACUGCAUGUAACCAUGAAUUCUCUCAAUGGCUUUGGGAUCCUUCCUCAGCACUCUAGCUUAGAUAUCAUUUAGACUCUUUUAACGA